AGACAGCAGUCGCCGCGGUAAUACAGAGGGUGCGAGCGUUAAUCGGAUUUACUGGGCGUAAAGCGUGCGUAGGCGGCUUCUUAAGUCGGAUGUGAAAUCCCUGAGCUUAACUUAGGAAUUGCAUUCGAUACUGGGAAGCUAGAGUAUGGGAGAGGAUGGUAGAAUUCCAGGUGUAGCGGUGAAAUGCGUAGAGAUCUGGAGGAAUACCGAUGGCGAAGGCAGCCAUCUGGCCUAAUACUGACGCUGAGGUACGAAAGCAUGGGGAGCAAACAGGAUUAGAUACCCCGGUAGUCCCUGUCUCUUAUAC
Molecule: ribosomal RNA, 307 nt
Filed under: uncultured bacterium
Lineage: Bacteria
Description: partial 16S ribosomal RNA
Rfam family: Bacterial small subunit ribosomal RNA
Source: RNAcentral